GGAAAGGAUGGUCUUCAUAAGGGCUGUGGGUGACAUUAGCUGCUGCAUGCAGGAGGAUCACACCGACCUUCUCCUGGUAGCUGCAAGAUUCAUUAACUGUGUGUAAAUACUGGUGUUAAGCUCUGUUUGCUUCCCGCUUACCGUCUACACACCUGGGGAGCCCAAUCUACUCACAAGAAGGCUUAUUCUGUUCUGACCACAGAGAGUUCAUCAGACGCUUCACGUGAUAGCCCUACUGGUGAAUGGAUAAAGAAGAUGUGAUCCAUAUAAAUACACAGCAGAAGACUACUUAACCACCUGGAAGGAUGAAUACUUGCCAUUUACAUCAACAUGGAUGGAACUGGAAGGUAUUAUGCUGAGUGAA
Molecule: long non-coding RNA, 364 nt
Organism: Canis lupus familiaris (dog)
Lineage: Eukaryota; Metazoa; Chordata; Mammalia; Carnivora; Canidae
Exons: 4
Source: RefSeq, a predicted model, not a curated record